UGGAGGUGCGGAAAAGCAGAAAUCUAUCGGCAAUGCAUUGUGGAAUGCAAGGGUAUCUAUCAACAUUAGCAUCACCCAAGGUUGCUGAAGUGGUGAACCAGUUUCCAGUAAAAGUGACCUUGAAUGAAGUACCCAGGCUAAGUACAUGGCCUUCGCAGUUUCAAGAUAUAGGUGCUAAGGAAGGCCAUGUGGCUCUUUUCUUCUUUGCCAAGGACAUCGUGAGGUGAAUUCAGAUCAUAUGUUUAUUCAUGUUUUAGUUUCUUCAAUGCUUUAUAUCCUAACGUAAUUGUUGCCUGUUACGCACAGUUAUGAGAGAAGUUACAAGCCCCUAGUAGAUAACAUGAUCCAGAAAGAUUUAGCUCUAAAAGGAAGCCUCGAGGGUGUUGAGCUUUUGAUUUUUGCCUCCAAUCAGCUUCCUCGGAACUGUCAGCGUAAGAACUCUUUACAUCAUGAACAUACAUUUGUUGCAAGUUUCACUGUUCUCAGUAGGGUUGAACUUCUGUAUUAAGUGCUUAGAGGUGCUAUAUCCUUGGCGUUUACAGGUUGGAACAUGUUCUUUUUCCUUUGGGGUGUAUUUCGAGGAAAAAACAAGAAAUGUUCUGAUCCACUCAAGAACAAACCUCUUCCGGCGUCUAAUGUUUUGCCAAAUAUGGGGAGAGUGUUUUCUACACGUGAGGGCUUUUACAAUGAAAAUCCAAGCAACAGAGAGUCCUUGCAAUCGUGCAUGAAGGUUGGUUAUUCUAGUCCUCUAAUUCACACCUGCCAUCUGUCUCUCGUUCUCUAUCACACCUCUAGUUAUACGGUUCGUUUCUGAAUCACGUAUGCCGUUUGUUUUUAUGCUCUAGUUAUGUAAAUAUCUUGCUCGUUAUCUAUUUUAGUUAUUAAGAGUGUUCAGGACCGUUUUGGACAGUUGCUAGGUUUAUCUAAAUAGUGUGCACAUAUUUGAUGGAUUCAUGGGUUUGAACAGGAGGAGAAUGCUAAAGAGGGUGAAGCGGGCGGUGGAGAUAGUGGAGCGGUGGAAGAAACUGAGGAAGGAGAGAUAGGUUCUUGCCCACAGUUGAAGGAUGAGAAGAUUUCAGGUAACAAUAAGGGUUUGCUUUCGGCUGUAAUGAGGUCAGGAAACAGAACAAACUUUUAGUUGUGUUCAUGAAUUGUUUGUUAUUGGAAUUGACAGGGCCUAGGAGAGUAAAUUCAUCUGACGUGAACCAUAAUGUGGACAUGGAUGAUCUGAAUAGUGAAGGGUUGUGUGAAGGACCAGCGAAUAAAAAGCUGAAGACAGGCACAGGAGUAGAAACCGAAUGUAACAUAUUUAGGAGGGAUACAUCUGGUCCCCGUCCCCGUGAGGAGGAAAAUGUGAUCAAGAAGAACCCAGUUGCAACGGAAAGGAUCGUGUUCCCUUUGGAUUUGAAUGAUGGAAAGGAAGAGGAUACUGUAAUGGUAGACAAUAAUCCAAGAGCACUAGGCGAUGACAAGAACAAACAAAGACCACUCGGUAUGGUCCCAAAUCUUGAGCUGGCUCUAGGAGAGGAUGAAACUACUACAACCACAGGAGUCCUUUUGCCCUUCAUGGCUGGACCUAGCGCCAGUGAAAAACAUAGAAGUAGCAAUAGCCAGAAGGCAGAAGAAGAGAAUGCAGCUUCUCUCUCACUAUCCUUGUCCUUCUCAUCCUUGGAGAAGGAACAACAACAACAACAAAGACAACAGCAGAAUCAGAGACGAGUAUUAAAUAAUCCAGGAAAUCUAUACUAUACUAAAAGGGGGAUAUAAGCCAUGGAGAGGGUGUCCACAUAGGAUAGAAAAAUCAACCAAUCAGAAAACCCGAAAUUGCCAUGUCAUCUCAUUUAUUUUUCGUAAAAAAUAAAAAAACAAUGCAAAGGUGAAAAUCGAACCCGGGUUAGUAUGAUAUAUAUAUAGGACAAUUACAUGAAUAAUCUUGCUUGGAUAGUAUCAUGAAUGUUUUAGUUGUUAGUCGAUAUGUGAGCAACAAAAAGUCGUUAACUUUUCAUGUAAAGCUGCUUCCUUUUUAUUGAUUACAUUCUCUCUUUUGUUAUUCAUGAAGGCUGAUAGAAGAGAUGGGAAUCGUUACAUUGGUCUGACAGGUCGUUAUAAAUUGGAGUCUGGAACUUGUAAUGUCUGCUCUGCUCCUUGUUCGUCUUGUGUGCAUCGUAAUGCGGGUUCAGUGUCAGAAGAGUCUCCGGGUGAAAACUCCCAUGGUGUAGUGGCGAGCCAGUGUUCUUUCAACGAGGGAGAUCUAUUGCGUUCUUCUCGCCUUAAUCUUGUUCAUGAUACUUCCUCUGAGCAUUCUGAGAGUCAAGAAGUUGUAAGGUCUUCUAAUCAUCAAGUCAAGAAAAGUGUUUUAGUUGAAAGCUCUACGCACUCAGUAAUUGGGAUGGUUGGGGAAUCGGGAGAGAAUAUUGUCUUAAAUAAGGGAGAGGAACCAAACACAUUAGCUAUGUCUGACUGUGAGAGUGCUGAUUCUGAACCGCAGGAAGUUGAUGUAAGUAAUGCUUUUUUGUUGCAAUAUUUUACUUUCAUCUCGCAGUUACAGAAAUCUCAAGUGAAAAUGUUGUCUUUGGUGUUGAGCAGGUGAAAAUUUGUGACACUUGUGGAGAUGCGGGCCGUGAGGAUUUGCUUGCUAUCUGCAGCAGAUGCAGUGAUGGUGCAGAACACACGUAAGCCUGUUUCAGUUAGUUCUUUUUGGAGUUUGAAUAUCAUAUUGUUAAUAGCGCAGCGCUUUAUUUGCUAGUGAUAUAGUUGCGUUUUCUUACUUUUAGCUAUUGCAUGCGAGUAAUGCUUAAAAAAGUUCCAGCGGGUGAUUGGCUUUGUGAAGAAUGCAAGUUUGCUGAGCAAGCAGAAAAGCAGAAGCGAGACAAAGGUGAAUAAUUUACCAUGCAUGUAGUGAAUUAGCGGAACUUGUCUUUCUCCUUUUUAUCUAAUGAAUUUGAGUUGAAACAUGCAGAAUCUAAGAGAAAGCAAGAAAGUGAGGCAAAUUUGAAUACACAGAGCUCCAGCAAAAGGCCCAUAGAUAGACCUGAGGCAGCUCCAGAUGCUAAAAGACAAGCAUUUGAGGCUCCAACAGGUUCACCAAAAAAACCUGUUCUCCCCAGGUUGCCCACUUUUUCCCGGGAAACAUCAUUUAAGCGCUUAGAGAAGACAACGAGAAAGCUAGCUCAUCACUCAUCUUUCAAUAGCCACUCCAGUGAUGACACAGAAAGCACACGAUCCACUGACUCACAGGUCCAAUCUCCUAAAGGUAGGAUAUAUGAUGUUGAAAAAAACUCUCAAACGCAGUUCUUCCUUGUUCUUGAUUAUUCUUUUUCAGGUAGUAUAAUAUUACCUUGUUAACAGCUUGUGCAGGCUCCCUUUUUAAGUCCAAGUCGUUUAAUUCUUCGAGCUCUAGACCAAAAGUGAGACCAGUGGAUGAUGUUAUGCCUAAGGAGGGGCUUUCUAGAAAAUUAGGUAGAUCAAUGUCAACUAGAUGUAUAGACGUAGGGAGCUCUGGUUGCAAUGACUCAAGAGUACAAGGUUCAAAGCAACUGAAAGAUCGGAGUACAGAAGCAUCCGGAGUCGAUCAGAAGCUAAUCUCACGUGGCAAUUCGUCCAGUUCCUAUGCAAAUAGUGCACGUGAUUUGAAGAGUUUGCAGUCUGAUGGUAAAGAAGGUAGCUUGACAAAGAAAGCCAGACAUCUAAGUCGAAACCGCCUGGAAGAUAUAGUUGCUUCUGGUACAUUUUCAUCUUACUGCUAUAUGCUUUUUGUUCUGCUAGUGAACUAUCUCCGCAUUUAAAGAUAUCAUGAUUGACACCUCGAGAUUUGUUUCUCACAUAUGCAGUGGGGGAUACACAUACGAAUGAAAAUAGCAAAGACGCUGUUGGUAGUCGCCGAAGGUCAUCUUUAAAAGACCUGUCAUCUCAAAAAAUUCAGACAGCCGAACCUGCUGAGACUUCAUGUUCCUCUGGAAGCAAUCUCUCUACCACGCGAAACAUUAGCGAGGAUGUUAAUAAAGGCAAUAGGUUGCGAGCAGCGGUCGAUGCUGCUCUCCGAAAAAAGCCUAGUUUCGGGAAGAACCGUGGUUUGGAGCAGUCUGAUUUGCCGUCAGUGUCUAAUGUGGAUUCUAGUUGCGAUAGGGCUCUUCAAAAUUUUCCCUCGAAGGUGCUGAGAGAUUGGCCUGUGGGAUUGCAAGGAGGGCAGGAGAUUGCAGUAAAUAGAAAACAGUCUACACUCGCUGGUGCUGAUGCAAUGGCUGCUCCUCAAUCUCUAGAGCCUGCAGUUCAUUUACAUUCGGUAAAGCCGGUCAUUAGAGAUUUGCCUGUGGGAUUGCAAAGAGGGCAUCCAAAUUUAAAUACCGACAAGCAGACGAUUGUAGUAAAUAGAAAACAGUCUACACUGGCUGGUACUGAUGCAAUUGCUGCUCCUCAAUCUGUAGAGCCUGUAGUUCAUUUACAUUCUGUAAAGCCGGUCAUGAGAGAUCUGCCGGUGGGAUUGCAAGGAGGGCAUCCAAAUUUACUGACAGACAAGCAGGCGAUUGCAGUAAAUAGAAAACAGUCUACACUCACUGGUGCUGAUGCAAUGGCUGCUCCUCAAUCUGUAGAGCCUGCAGUUCAUUUACAUUCUGUAAAGCCGGUCAUUAGAGAUUUUCCUGUGGGGUUGCAAAGAGGGCGUCCAAAUUUACAGACAGACAAGCAGACGAUUGCAGUAAAUAGAAAGCAGUUUCCACUCGCUAGUGCUGAUGCAAUGGCUGCUUCUCAAUCUGUAGAGCCUACGGUUCAUUUUCAUUCUGUAAAGCCUGUCAUGAGUGAUUUGCCUGGGGUUGACCCAUCUGUUCUGUCGACAACCUCAGCCAUCCCAGAGCCUGAAUACAUUUGGCAGUAUGGUUUUCAUUCCUUUUCGUGAAGAUCUCUGUUUUGGUUUUAUUGUUUUUGUUGAUAAACAUUAUUUUUCCUUUGACCAGAGGGGAGAUGGAGGUGCGGAAAAGCAGAAAUCUAUCGGCAAUGCAUUGUGGAAUGCAAGGGUAUCUAUCAACAUUAGCAUCACCCAAGGUUGCUGAAGUGGUGAACCAGUUUCCAGUAAAAGUGACCUUGAAUGAAGUACCCAGGCUAAGUACAUGGCCUUCGCAGUUUCAAGAUAUAGGUGCUAAGGAAGGCCAUGUGGCUCUUUUCUUCUUUGCCAAGGACAUCGUGAGGU
This 5182-nucleotide long non-coding RNA is filed under the name Brassica napus (rape). RNAcentral describes it as "long non-coding RNA (BNAP_LNC000865)". The record is from RNAcentral. Lineage: Eukaryota; Viridiplantae; Streptophyta; Magnoliopsida; Brassicales; Brassicaceae.